This 119-nucleotide ribosomal RNA is filed under the name Pteropus alecto (black flying fox). RNAcentral also lists the same sequence under 1 other name. The record is from RNAcentral. Lineage: Eukaryota; Metazoa; Chordata; Mammalia; Chiroptera; Pteropodidae.
GUCUACAGCCAUGCCACCCUGAACAAGCCCGAUCCUGUCUGAUCUCGGAAGCUAAGCAGGGUCGGGCCUGGUUAGUACUUGGAUGGGAGACCACCUAGGAAGACCAGGUGCUGUAGGCG